RNAcentral lists this unclassified non-coding RNA (391 nucleotides) under soil metagenome. Its description in RNAcentral is "partial contains 5.8S ribosomal RNA, internal transcribed spacer 2, and large subunit ribosomal RNA". The stretch from base 1 to 122 matches the Rfam family "5.8S ribosomal RNA", at positions 35 to 154 of the family's 154-position model. The record is from RNAcentral.
GAUGAAGAACGUAGCGAAAUGCGAUACUUGGUGUGAAUUGCAGAAUCCCGUGAACCAUCGAGUCUUUGAACGCAAGUUGCGCCCGAAGCCACUAGGCCGAGGGCACGCCUGCCUGGGCGUCACACGCCGUUGCCCCCCCAUCUACUCCUUCGGGAUUGCGGGGGGGCGGAUGAUGGCCUCCCGUGCGCCUCGCCGCGCGGUUGGCAUAAAUACCAAGUCCUCGGCGACGCACGCCACGACAAUCGGUGGUUGCGAAACCUCGGUUGCCCGUCGUGUGCGUUCGUCGCGCAUCGAGGGCUCGAAAAAAUGCUCGGCUCCGGCUGGGCUUUCAACGCGACCCCAGGUCAGGCGGGGUUACCCGCUGAAUUUAAGCAUAUCAAUAAGCGGAGGA